AUGGCCACAUACAGUGCAUGUGAAGCUCUCUGGAGCUCAGCAGUGUCAGGGAGCUGCUGGAGGCUGAGGAGAAAGGACUGACCAACCACCUAAACAUCAGUGAGAGCAAAGCACUUGGUACCAGCUUCUUCUAUGGCUUCCCGAGGAUAAGGCCCAACCAGAGUAUUUGCAAUGGAUCUGUGCCCUAGCUCCGGAGUUAUGUGAGCAGGGCAGGCAGCGAUGCAAAUCACUGACAGCAAAGAAGGAAAAUCCUUCUCAGGGAUGGGAUUACUCCAGAAAAUGAAAACAUGAAAGCUGAUAUGUGCCAAAACGGAGGGAAAGCCAGAUUUGGGACAGAUCAUUAUUCUGACGGCACGGCAUGUCGCUGUAAGCACAAGCUGUGAGGUUGCGGCUUGAAACACGUGCAGGUGACUAUAGGUCUGUCCUCCUGGGCUCCUCAUGUAUUCGUAUUGCCUUUGUCAUCUGUCACUGGCCUGACUGCCACCUUGGGUUGGACCCCUCCUCGUAGCUCAUCUUUGCUUUUUCCUCAGCACCAAGGAAUCCGCCUGUUCAAUUCAUUUGUCUUGCAAAUGGUUGGAAAUCUCUUUUUCUAGUCAGAAUUUUCCUCCUUUGACAUAGAGAUCGGCAUAGCCCAUCUCUUUCUUCUUCUCUUAUCGUGGCAGAUAUGAAUUGUUGGUGUGUCCUCAAUAUACUUCCCCUGUCCCCACUCUGUCCAUCAAAAUGUCAAAUUUUGCCUUACCUCAGUCACAUAACAGGAUUUACUUUUAUAUUUGGGGAAGAGGGUUAGGAUGGAAAUGCUCUACAUACUUCCCUCAGAACACUACCGUGUCUGUUAGUCAGCUACGCAGUUUGUCUUCUAUCCAUUCCAUAUGCAGGCUACCUUUUGCUGGUUUUACCUAAUUUUUUUCUUUUUUUCUCAGAACUCUAACCCAAAGUAGUCUGUGUUCAGCAGCGAUGCUUAGCACUCUGAGCCCACUGGCUGAGCUGGACAAACCUGUUCAUCUAAGAGAUGCUGCUGAGAAGAGAUCACUGAUUUUUUAACAGAAAUUAAGCCUUCAGCAAAUGGACAGUCUCACUAGGGUAUAUUUGAAGGCAUCAGGAUUCAGCAUGAGAACCUUCACCAACUCCUUCACAGUCAGAAAAGUUGUUACAAAUUUAGUGGGUUUUUUUGUGUUUUUUUUUUUUCUCCCGUUGCUCUAACUUCUCUGAGAGCUCCUUUGAUAAUGUGAUCAUCUACUGGCCCUGCAGGCUCCCUGGCAAGCAUCCCAUUUCUAGGAUCUAUAAUUAGUUGAGAUGUUUAUAGGGAAUUGUAUCUCAAAUUCUUUUUGUCCUCAUUUAUCUUGUGUUUACAUUUAAGCAGAUAGAAACUGUGAUCCCUCCUUUUUUUCUCAUUUGGAUAUGACUUAAAGUUUUUGAAGGGUGCCUUAUUGCUUUUACUAUCAUCUCUCACCUUGCUAUUUCACCAUGCCAACACUUCUCUGCUCUUCCUAGAGUCUCUGUUGACAGGUGGAAUGAAUUUACGUUAAGGCUCUGCGCGAUGUCUUUAAAUAGGCCUCAUGCUCUUGAUUUGGAUGUCUCAUAAAAAAUUAAAGGAUAAUGUAAAAAUAAAAAAUGCUGUUAAUGUCCCGAGGGACAAUGAAGACACGGGUCCUUCAGCUUGCUUGUGGAGGGGGUUGAUAACCCCCCUGGGGUCAGUGGCUGGAGGUCUGUGUCCACGACCGGCUCCGACAUGGUGCACCCGUGUCACCGGGAUCAGACUGUGCUGCUGGGAAUCCUUACCAGGACCUCGCUCUGUCGGGAGCUGCCUUGGAGCUCAAGGCCCGGCCCUUGGUCCUUGCCAGGGCCAGGCUGUAGCUCUGUCUGUGCCUUGCCAUGUUUGAUGCCCCAGUUCUGGCCCAGCGGCCUCAGCCCUGCGGAGCUGCCCAGUGACUGGCCUGACCCCGGCCAUUGCCCCCAGACCUCCCUGUGUGGGCACCGGGGGAAGUGUGAGCUGGGGGGAGAUGGCAACCAGGGGCCACCUCACCUCGCCGAGCCAGCACUGUCCACCUGGGUCCAUGGUGGGGAAUGACAGACCCAGGGUGGCACAGCAGACCCUGCUGCGGGCAAGGUUACCCCCUUCACCCCAUUAAACACGGCUGCACCAGGAAGGCUCGGGCUGGCAGUUUCCUCUUUUUUCUAUUUUACUCCAGUGCUGAAGAGCUGUAAAGCAAGUGGAAGCUCCUUCAAACCUGGUGCUGGGACCGCGGGCUGUAGGGCUGAGCAGGAUGUCUUUGGGGGAAGAUCGCUGCCCGCCGGCCUGCGCUGCCAGAGCGUGUCCUUGGCUGUCAGCGAUGGCCUGAGCUUGAUCCCAAAGCAAAUCAUGAACAUUAAACUCCUCAGAAGUAGCAAUUUCUGCAGUAAUAGCUAAAUUAUAGCCCAUACACUGAAUGAAACAAAAUUAGGGCUCCAUAUGUAGUAUUUAUUUGGGCAAUUUCACUUAACCUUGCCAUCUUUUAAUUCCUUUUAUACCUUGAUUUAGUAAUUUCUGAAAUUUUUUUAUAGCUCUGUUUAUUGAGAAGACCACAAGAGACCUGAACUGAAUAAUUUCCUGUUUCUGCAGUUUUGUACUUUAACAGCAACAGCACCGUCUGUACAUAAACUCUUUAAACAAUAAACAUCUUUAUCCGCAAUGGUUUAGGUGUUUAUUAUCUUUGUAGCACUUCAUUUGUAGGACACAGUACCACCUUCAGAAAAAAUGGAAUCAGUUUGUAGUCAAACUAGUGGUUCUGGUUAUUUUUUGAUACUGUAAGAAAAAAGGUACCUUUUAAAGCGACAAAAUAUACUGUAAUAAUGCAAAAAAGAUUUUAAAUGGUAAUUUAUCAAAUUAAAGAUCUGUUUGAUUGGACAGUGAAAUGCUGGACUGUGUAUUAAUAUCAGACCUUCAACAUUUCUAACAGUAAUACAGUUCAAAGCAAAUAUACUUCACAGGAAAAAUUAGGUUAUAUUCCAGCCAGUUAGUGUCACGGAACCGAUAAUUGAAUUCCUUGCU
Long non-coding RNA from Athene cunicularia (burrowing owl), 3028 nucleotides. RefSeq lists it as uncharacterized. NCBI's taxonomy places the organism in Eukaryota, Metazoa, Chordata, Aves, Strigiformes, Strigidae. The transcript is spliced from 4 exons. The record is from RefSeq and is a predicted model, not a curated record.